CGGCGAGUGAAGCGGCAAAAGCUCAAAUUUGAAAUCUGGCUCUUUCAGAGUCCGAGUUGUAAUUUGAAGAAGGUAUCUUUGGGUCUGGCUCUUGUCUAUGUUUCUUGGAACAGAACGUCACAGAGGGUGAGAAUCCCGUGCGAUGAGAUGAUCCAGGCCUAUGUAAAGUUCCUUCGAAGAGUCGAGUUGUUUGGGAAUGCAGCUCUAAGUGGGUGGUAAAUUCCAUCUAAAGCUAAAUAUUGGCGAGAGACCGAUAGCGAACAAGUACAGUGAUGGAAAGAUGAAAAGAACUUUGAAAAGAGAGUGAAAAAGUACGUGAAAUUGUUGAAAGGGAAGGGCUUGAGAUCAGACUUGGUAUUUUGUAUGUUACUUCUUCGGGGGUGGCCUCUACAGUUUAUCGGGCCAGCAUCAGUUUGGGCGGUAGGAGAAUUGCGUUGGAAUGUGGCACGGCUUCGGUUGUGUGUUAUAGCCUUCGUCGAUACUGCCAGCCUAGACUGAGGACUGCGGUUUAUACCUAGGAUGUUGGCAUAAUGAUCUUAAGUCGCCCGUCU
Molecule: ribosomal RNA, 551 nt
Filed under: Candida tropicalis
Lineage: Eukaryota; Fungi; Ascomycota; Pichiomycetes; Serinales; Debaryomycetaceae
Description: partial large subunit ribosomal RNA
Rfam family: Eukaryotic large subunit ribosomal RNA
Source: RNAcentral